This 492-nucleotide ribosomal RNA is filed under the name uncultured bacterium. RNAcentral's name for it is "partial 16S ribosomal RNA". It matches the Rfam family "Bacterial small subunit ribosomal RNA", at positions 29 to 508 of the family's 1533-position model. The record is from RNAcentral.
AGUGAACGCUGGCGGUAGGCCUAACACAUGCAAGUCGAACGGCAGCACAGUAAGAGCUUGCUCUUACGGGUGGCGAGUGGCGGACGGGUGAGGAAUACAUCGGAAUCUACUUUUUCGUGGGGGAAACGUAGGGAAACUUACGCUAAUACCGCAUACGACCUACGGGUGAAAGCAGGGGAUCUUCGGACCCUGCGCGAUUGAAUGGGCCGAUGUCGGAUUAGCUAGUUGGCGGGGUAAAGGCCCACCAAGGCGACGAUCCGUAGCUGGUCUGAGAGGAUGAUCAGCCACACUGGAACUGAGACACGGUCCAGACUCCUACGGGAGGCAGCAGUGGGGAAUAUUGGACAAUGGGCGCAAGCCUGAUCCAGCCAUACCGCGUGGGUGAAGAAGGCCUUCGGGUUGUAAAGCCCUUUUGUUGGGAAAGAAAAGCAGCAGGUUAAUACCCCGCUGUUCUGACGGUACCCAAAGAAUAAGCACCGGCUAACUUCGUGC